GGCCUAACACAUGCAAGUCGAGCGGUAUAAGAUCUUCGGAAUCUAGAGAGCGGCGUACGGGUGCGGAACACGUGUGCAACCUACCUUUAUCAGGGGGAUAGCCUUUCGAAAGGAAGAUUAAUACCCCAUAAUAUAUUGACUGGCAUCAGUCGAUAUUGAAAACUCCGGUGGAUAGAGAUGGGCACGCGCAAGAUUAGAUAGUUGGUAGGGUAACGGCCUACCAAGUCAGUGAUCUUUAGGGGGCCUGAGAGGGUGAUCCCCCACACUGGUACUGAGACACGGACCAGACUCCUACGGGAGGCAGCAGUGAGGAAUAUUGGACAAUGGGUGAGAGCCUGAUCCAGCCAUCCCGCGUGAAGGACGACGGCCCUAUGGGUUGUAAACUUCUUUUGUAUAGGGAUAAACCUACUCUCGUGAGAGUAGCUGAAGGUACUAUACGAAUAAGCACCG
RNAcentral lists this ribosomal RNA (450 nucleotides) under uncultured Flavobacteriia bacterium. RNAcentral describes it as "bacterial SSU rRNA". It matches the Rfam family "Bacterial small subunit ribosomal RNA", at positions 45 to 495 of the family's 1533-position model. Lineage: Bacteria; Pseudomonadati; Bacteroidota; Flavobacteriia. The record is from RNAcentral.